This 66-nucleotide transfer RNA is filed under the name human gut metagenome. It matches the Rfam family "tRNA". Rfam says of the family: Transfer RNA (tRNA) molecules are approximately 80 nucleotides in length. Their secondary structure includes four short double-helical elements and three loops (D, anti-codon, and T loops). The record is from RNAcentral. RNAcentral also lists the same sequence under 1 other name.
GGAGUGGCUCAGUUGGUAGAGCAGCUGAUUCGUAAUCAGCAGGUCGUGGGUUCGAGUCCCAUCUCC